GCUCGCUUGGGAGAGUAAAGUGGCGCACGGGUGAGUAACGCGUGGGUAACCUACCCUUGAAUCGGGGAUAACUCCGCGAAAGCGGAGCUAAUACCGGAUAAGACCACGGCCGCUCCGGGGCGAGGUAAAAGCUGACCUCUCCAUGGAAGUUAGCGUUUGGGGACGGGCCCGCGGCCUAUCAGCUUGUUGGUGGGGUAAGGCCACCAAGGCAACGACGGGUAGCUGGUCUGAGAGGAGAUCAGCCACACUGGAACUGGACACGGUCAGACUCUACGGAGGCAGCAGGAGGAAUGCGCAUGGGAACCUGCGAGCACCGCGGGUGAGAGGCUUUCGGGUCGUAAAGCCUGUCAGGUGGGAGAACCGAUCCGGCACUAAUAUUGCCGAACCUGACGGUACCACCAGAGGAAGCACCGGCCAACUCCGUGCCAGCAGCCGCGGUAAUACGGAGGGUGCAAGCGUUGUUCGGAAUUAUUGGGCGUAAAGAGCGUGUAGGCGGUUAGGAAAGUCAGAUGUGAAAGCCCUGGGCUCAACCCAGGAAGUGCAUUUGAAACUUCCUAACUUGAGUACGGGAGAGGAGGGGGGAAUUCCCGGUGUAGAGGUGAAAUUCGUAGAUAUCGGGAGGAAUACCGGUGGCGAAGGCGCCCCUCUGGACUGAUACUGACGCUGAGACGCGAAAGCGUGGGGAGCAAACAGGAUUAGAUACCCUGGUAGUCCACGCCGUAAACGAUGAGCACUAGGUGUAGCGGGUAUUGACCCCUGCUGUGCCGUAGCUAACGCAUUAAGUGCUCCGCCUGGGGAUUACGGUCGCAAGACUAAAACUCAAAGGAAUUGACGGGGGCCCGCACAAGCGGUGGAGCAUGUGGUUUAAUUCGACGCAACGCGAAGAACCUUACCUGGGCUUGACAUCCCCGGACAGCCCUGGAAACAGGGUCUUCCACUACGGGGGACCGGGUGACAGGUGCUGCAUGGCUGUCGUCAGCUCGUG
Molecule: ribosomal RNA, 985 nt
Filed under: uncultured bacterium
Lineage: Bacteria
Description: bacterial SSU rRNA
Rfam family: Bacterial small subunit ribosomal RNA
Source: RNAcentral